CAGUCGCCACGGUAAUACGAAGGUCCCGAGCGUUGUUCGGAAUCACUGGGCGUAAAGGGAGCGUAGGCGGCGUGGUAAGUCAGAUGUGAAAUCCCGGGGCUCAACCCCGGAACUGCAUCCGAUACUGCCGUGCUAGAGGAUUGGAGAGGUAGCUGGAAUUCUUGGUGUAGCAGUGAAAUGCGUAGAGAUGUGGAGGAACACCGAUGGCGAAGGCAGCCCCCUGGGCCAAUACUGACGCUCAUGCACGAAAGCGUGGGGAGCAAACAGGAUUAGAUACCCCAGUAGUCCCUGUCUCUUAUAC
This 301-nucleotide ribosomal RNA is filed under the name uncultured bacterium. RNAcentral describes it as "partial 16S ribosomal RNA". It matches the Rfam family "Bacterial small subunit ribosomal RNA", at positions 509 to 807 of the family's 1533-position model. The record is from RNAcentral.